This 260-nucleotide ribosomal RNA is filed under the name uncultured bacterium. RNAcentral's name for it is "partial 16S ribosomal RNA". It matches the Rfam family "Bacterial small subunit ribosomal RNA", at positions 15 to 275 of the family's 1533-position model. The record is from RNAcentral.
GAUCAUGGCUCAGGACGAACGCUGGCGGCGUGCCUAACACAUGCAAGUCGAACGGGACUUGCCCCUUCGGGGACAAGUUUAGUGGCGGACGGGUGAGUAACGCGUGAGCAACCUACCUUUCAGUGGGGGACAACAGUUGGAAACGACUGCUAAUACCGCAUAACACUUAUUUAGGGCAUCUUAAAUAAGUCAAAGAUUUAUUGCUGAAAGAUGGGCUCGCGUCUGAUUAGCUAGUUGGUGGGUAACGGCCCACCAAGGCG